UUUCAGACCUGCAGUAUGUGGACACAUGUUGGGGUUGACAGCAGAUAAGGAGGAGGCUUGGAGAAGUGGAUCCAGAAAGACAACCCAUGGACAGCCCAGAUGGAGCAGAAUCUUACCAACUGCUUCGCACUCGCUCCUGGCGGACGUCCUCCUGCCUCUGACAGCCGGUAAUCACUGCAUCAGCUACAUAAUCCUCCCAAGCGCUCAAACAGGAGGCAGCUAUCACAAUAUUCCCAGCAUUUGGACCUGUAGUGGACAUGGAGACGCCGUAGUACCUGACUGAUUCUACAUUUUGGGAUUUCUGA
This is a long non-coding RNA of Seriola aureovittata, 305 nucleotides long. RefSeq lists it as uncharacterized. The transcript is spliced from 3 exons. NCBI's taxonomy places the organism in Eukaryota, Metazoa, Chordata, Actinopteri, Carangiformes, Carangidae. The record is from RefSeq and is a predicted model, not a curated record.